GGAACAGAGGAGAAGUAGGAUAGGGGUACGGCUAAAGACUAUACGAACUGGCCGUCUAGCACGUUCAGAACAGAGAGUAAAAGGAGCAGGUAUCUGGGCACGAUAGCAUAGAUUCAAGGCAUAGUGCACAGACAAAGGUAAGGUAGGAAGUGAGCACAUUGGAGGUAAACCUAGGCAUUGAGUAAUGAAGAGAGAGAUAUAGUCUAGAGAUAUUUAAACAAGGUGAUGUCAUCGCAUAUGUAGGAGGUGGAACAACAUGGUUGGUUAAGGCACAUUGAGCAGGGCUGGAGGAUCUACAGUGAAAUAAGACGAAGCAGUGUAAAUUCAGAUGCAUAUCCCAGAUUAAACCAAGGAAUCCUCUUUUAAAGAAGCAUUCUCUACGCCCUGACUGGUUAGUCUUCUCUACAUUCUGAUACUACUACCCUGGUGUGACCUGAGGCUCAGCCGACGUCAUGGCUAUCUCUCCUACCGUAACCCUCCACCUGGACGAUGGUGUGGUGCGUGGCCUGGACCUGCAGUCUUGUGCUGUCCAGCUGUGUAAAGGACAUGGUCACUGUGUGGCUCAGGGACAGGUCACCACCUGUGAGUGUAUCCUGGGGUACAGAGGAGAGUUCUGCCAUGAGAGUGUCAAUGAGGCAAUCGGUGUUCCGCUCACCCUGGGGGUAGUGGCCUUUAUCGUUGGCAUCCUCAUCCUCUCCUUCCUCAUUGCAUUCAUCAGGCAGAGGGUCAAGGUCAAAAGGAAAGCUGCAGCCAAGGAUUCAAGUGGUUUAGAAAAAGACAUUCUGUAGCAUCAAGGUUUGGUUGACGGUCCAACAUCAGAGCACAUCCCCUUCAUCAGGCUUUAUCCCCGGUAUAAACAAUUAUAUACUGUAGUACUAUUUAUAUAAACAACUAUUUACUGUAGUACUCUUCAUAUGAACUACAUGCGUUAGUGUUAACUACUAUACCAUAGCACUACUUAUAUAAACAACUAUGCUGUGGUACUAAUAGAAAUCCAUAUAUGGUGGGACGACUCGUGAAAAGUAAGGACUGUUUUUGGCGAUAGCUGUGUUUGAAUACUAACAAACUGUAUACUACAUACUUAAUAAGUGUAUAUUACAUACUAUAUACUGUUUGUUGAUUUUUAGUAUACUGUAAAUGUCCGGUAUCCUUUCAGUUGAUUGUACUAGCGCUUUGCCUGUCUAUCUGUAGUUGAUGCUGUUGCUAUGCAACUUCUUGUUAGCAUAGCUAACAAAUGACUAGCUAGACGUUUUAUGACUUCAUUGAGAACCCACAAUGGCUAUACCACUUAGCUAAGCCAAGAAUAAUCAAGCCAAUAAAUUUUGGGUAGUUUGCAUAUAGUUAAUAUACUGGCGAGUUUGUAUUAGUAACUAGCUAACAUACAGUACCUACAAGCAACUGCUGUAAUGAUACGCUAUGCAGUUCUAUGCUAACAAACUGUCAGCGAACGUAACUUAUUUGAAAAGUCGUUACUCCAGAGUGGUGCAGCGGUCUAAGGCACUGCAUCUCAGUGCUAAAGGUGUCACUACAGACCCUGGUUCGAUUCCAGGCUGUAUCACAACCGACCGUGAUUAGGAGUCCCAUAGGGCGGCGCACAAUUGGCCCAGGGUCGUUAGGGUUUGGCCGGGGUAGGCCGUCAUUUUAAAUAAGAAUUUGUUCUCAACUGACUUGCCUAGUUAAACCCCAAUAUAUAUAUAUAUUAAAGGUUACAUAAAAAUUACAUUUCUCAACAAUUUCCUUCCGUUUGAGCCUGGCCUGACUGGCUUACCUCCUUUUAGAGCCUGGCCUGACUGGUUAGUUGGUAACAUUUAACACAUUUUCUCCAAAACAUGACAGGAAUUUCAACGCUGGUAAACCAGUCAGUCCAACAGUGUUUUUCAUUGGCAACAGAAAGCAUCCGCUGGGGAUUGAGGUUUGAAAAUAAACACUGUUCUAUACAGGCUGUAGUGUUCGUCAAAACAGGUUUCGUCUUGCAUACUUAGGAUUGCAUGACUAUCCCUAUUGUGCUGCUGAGUGCCUUAGAUCAAAGUGAAGUUUACUGUCCAACAUCAGAGCUUGGCCUUUUCAUUGGCUCCAUCCCUGGUACAUGUAUAAAUAACUAUAUAUUGUAGUACUAUUCAUAUAAACAACUAUAUACUGUAGUACUUUUAAUACAAGCAACUAAAUACUUUAGUACUAUUUAUAUUACCAACUAUAUACUGUAGUACUAUUCAUAAACUACAUGCGCUAGUACUACUAGUGUUAACUACUAUACAAUAGGACUUCUUAUAUAAACAAAUAUGCUGUGGUACUAAUAUAAAACCACAUGGUGGGACUACUCGUAUAAAGGACUUUUUUUUGGGGUCACGUCUUUAUACUGACUAACUUUAUACUUUUUUUCUGGGAAACCAAAGCCUCGACGAGCAGCAGCUUUUCUCACGCUGAUCCUGGCCAUGCUGUUAUGACUGAUUAGUGUGGUGAUGCACUCUGUUGCCUAACUUGUUUGUGUUGCUUGUGGCUGUAUUGCUUGUGGUUUGUUGCCUGACUUGUUUGUGCUGCUUGUGGCUGUGUUGCCUGACUGUUGCCUGACUGACUGGUUUGUGCUGUGUUGCCUGAUUGUUGCCUGACUGGUUUGUGUUUAUGGUUGUGUUGCUUGUGGUUUGUUAACUGAUUUUGUGUUGCCUGACUUAGUGUUAUCUAUGACUCAUUAGUGACUAAUAGACCUAAGCAAUGGCAACAUUCAGUUGCUCCUAAACAUGACAGGAAUUCAAACUGAGCUUUUCAUUGGCCACAAAGGUUUGAAAAUAUACACUGUAUACAAGUCUGGUCCCCUUGCUGAUAUAAUUUUCUCUUGUAACUGUAAACUCAAGUGAGUUUUUGUCUUAAUUUCAAGCUGAUCCAGUCUCUCCCUCUAGAGGUUGGUUACAACAUAAUGGAAGCCUGUCCAGUCAUGGACCUUCGGAUCAUACAACCGCCUUGUUAAUUCCAUGUGGAUAAAAUGCUAUUAUGUUCUUGAAUAAUUAUUAUAGACGCAUUGCAAACAAAAUAUUUUAUCAAUUGUAUUUUUUAAGCUUUGUUCUUGUAUCUGAAUGUUGGAUAUGCUUAAACCUGGGCAAAUUCACAUUAAAACACUGUUUACUUCUGUGUGAUCAAUGUCUCUUAGUGGUAUCCUUUUAAACGGAUUGUUUAUCACAUUUGUAGAACUAACCUGUAGAUCACUAGGCCUAGUUUUUUUACCUGUUUAUGACAUCCAUGUACUUGGCCAACAAAACAACUUGUUAGCAUUCCUAGAGUAGAAAGCAGGGUUUGGAACCAAAUUAUUUUACAAUCGUUUUGUUCAACUCUUCUGACCAGCAAAAUAAAGUUCUGAACUGGUUUGAAGCAACAACAAAACAUGUACCAGUAUAUAUUCCUUUUUAUAACCUGUCAAAUAAACUUCUUUUAAAAACAUUUAACCUAUUAAAUGACUUCACUGAUCAGUGCGGAUAGAGCAGUUAAGAUUGUUCAAAUGUGUGAUGGACAGACAAGUGCACCAGAAGGGCACCGGCAUUAAAAACAAUUCUU
Oncorhynchus tshawytscha (Chinook salmon) is the source of this 3543-nucleotide long non-coding RNA. Lineage: Eukaryota; Metazoa; Chordata; Actinopteri; Salmoniformes; Salmonidae. The record is from Ensembl.